CAGUAGCCGCGGGAAUACGAGGGGGGCAAGCGUCGUUCGGAAUCAUUGGGCGUAAAGGGUGCGUAGGCGGUUUGAUAAGUCUUGUGUGAAAUCUAUGGGCUCAACCCAUAGUCUGCAUAGGAAACUGUCGGGCUUGAGAGUGGGAGAGGUGAGUGGAAUUUCCGGUGUAGCGGUGAAAUGCGUAGAUAUCGGAAGGAACACCUGUGGCGAAAGCGGCUCACUGGACCAUUUCUGACGCUGAUGCACGAAAGCUAGGGGAGCAAACAGGAUUAGAUACCCCUGUAGUCCCUGUCUCUUAUAC
This 301-nucleotide ribosomal RNA is filed under the name uncultured bacterium. Its description in RNAcentral is "partial 16S ribosomal RNA". It matches the Rfam family "Bacterial small subunit ribosomal RNA", at positions 509 to 807 of the family's 1533-position model. The record is from RNAcentral.